UACGCCACCGCACCUGGCCCAAAUUAUUAAUUGUACGUAUUCUCAUUGUUCUGCUUCUUCCAAGAAAACUGAAGUCACGGUAUUCUGAAGACUAGAGAUGAUUCAACAGGCUGUGAAUCUAUUCCAUUUGGAAUCCUACUGGGCCUGAUCUGUUUUCCAUUGCCAAGGCACUGCUGUUUAAGCUAUACCAUAUGAAGCACCCUCCCUAAAGGCUCAGGGGCCAUAGUGAAAGAGGACACAUGGGAUUGUAAGAGCCAGAUUAUGGGGGUGGAGGGUAAAGGCUGAAGCAAGUCCAUCUUGGAUGCUAACUCACUAUGUUAGCUUCUGAUUAACCCCAGUUCCAGGAAGGCUGCUGAAAUUUCCAGUUUAUGUGUUGUUCCUUGUGUAAGAGCAUGGACUUACUGCAAAUCCUGCCCUUAGGGCAAAUUCCUACCUAUUCCUGCGGAAGCAUGUGUAUCAUUCCCCUAUGGUUUAUAACCCCUGAGUCUGGGGGUAAUGGCACGGGGACCCACCAGCUUGUCUGCCGCCAUCUGGGAGUCUUUUCUAAGGCACCAACUACUUCCUUCAAGCAGCAGCCAGAGAUCUUUGCUUAAUGGCUGAGAAACACAGAGGAGAGACCCAGAGAGAAGGAGAAGGCCGCAUGAAGAUGGAGCAGAGACUGGAGUUAUUCAGCCAAGUCAAGGAAUGCCUGGAGCACCAGAAGCCGGAAGAGGCAAGGAAGGAUCCUCCCUUAGAGCAUUUGGAAGAGUGUGGCCCUGCCAACACCUUGACUUCAAACUUCUGGCCUCCAUAACUAUGAAAUAAAUUCUUGUUGUUUUAAGCCACCAAGUUUGUGGUAACUUCUUACAGCAACCCUAGGAAAUUAACACACAGAGUGUCAGUUACCUAAACAUUGUGAGCCUCAGUUACCUUAUCUGAAAAUGGGGCUAAAACUUAGACCUACCUUUUAGGGCUGCUUUAAGGAGUAAUAGAAAUUAUACAUGGGAAUUACAUGGCACCAAGUUGUUCCUUAAUAGAGGGAAACUGUUAUGAUGGCGGAAGAGCAGUAAUGAAAUACUGAAUUCAUCCAGCAGAUGGCAGAAGAUGGAUUUGCAAACAAGAGGACUUCAUAAGGUUUGCUGCCCAGCAAUGCAGCUCCAGGCCUAAAGUAGCCUUCCUAGCUCACAGACUGAUGAGGAUUAACCCUCGCCAACUCAAGUGUGCUCUCAGCUCUGUAGAAACUAAACUAAUUCUGUUUUCCUUUGACCAUUGUACACCACAGAGGCUGGCAAUGGAGAAUAUAAAGAGUGGUGCAACAGAAAAUACCUGGGUUCUAGGCUCAGCUCUGUCACCUCAUUAGGAUUCAGUUUGCCCAUCUGUAAAGUAGUGACAAGAUGAAAUACCAAGUGUAACGUAAUUAAAGGGCUGUUGUGAUACCAAAAUAACAUAAUGUGUAAAAGUGCUAAAAACAAGAUGCCAUAAAGCACAGAAGGGGCCCAGGAGAGAUUAAUUCAUGGAGAACUUACUCGUUUUUUUGAGACAGAGUCUCACUGUGUUGCUCAGGCUGCAGUGCAGUGGCGCGAUCUCAGCUAAC
Molecule: long non-coding RNA, 1573 nt
Filed under: Homo sapiens (human)
Lineage: Eukaryota; Metazoa; Chordata; Mammalia; Primates; Hominidae
Description: HSALNT0292952
Source: RNAcentral